Molecule: ribosomal RNA, 253 nt
Filed under: uncultured bacterium
Lineage: Bacteria
Description: partial 16S ribosomal RNA
Rfam family: Bacterial small subunit ribosomal RNA
Source: RNAcentral
UACAGAGGUCCCAAGCGUUGUUCGGACUCAUUGGGCGUAAAGGGUGCGUAGGCGGCGCGGUAAGUCGGGUGUGAAAUCUCGGAGCUUAACUCCGAAACUGCAUUCGAUACUGCCGUGCUUGAGGACUGGAGAGGAGACUGGAAUUUACGGUGUAGCGGUGAAAUGCGUAGAUAUCGUAAGGAAGACCAGUGGCGAAGGCGGGUCUCUGGACAGUUCCUGACGCUGAGGCACGAAGGCCAGGGGAGCAAACGGG